Molecule: small RNA, 807 nt
Filed under: Malus domestica (apple)
Lineage: Eukaryota; Viridiplantae; Streptophyta; Magnoliopsida; Rosales; Rosaceae
Description: sRNA MD13G0080200
Source: RNAcentral
UUGUGGUCUAUUUGUCCUUUUCUUCAUGGAGCGCUUCAUCGAAGAGGCCCCUGAAAGGCUGAAAAUGAAAGAUUUGUCAAUGGUCGGUUUGAGUCUCAAAACCUGAAGCAGCUUCAAGUUUGAGAAAGAAAAUCCGGAAGGAACUCAGGCAAGAAUUUCGAGAUGCAUAUUUUGUUAACCUCUCAAAAGAAUCUGCUCCAGCGGUUGGUGCUUCUGAAGAAUGAACCGGCAUAUGGGAUACUGACUGAAUCCGGUGCACAGAUGUAGCAACUAACUCAGCUUUCAGGUUGGCUUCCCAUGUACAGCUCAGAGGAAUGGGUGUGAUCUUUUGAGUUUAGCAUUGUAUAGCGAGGGAAAAUCGGUUAAAAUGCCAUUUUUUCGAGAGCUAAGAAGAUACCAGAUUGGCCAGGACAAGGCGUGCAUCAUAGUCGUCUGCAGUACUGACCAUUUCUGGAGUGCUGAAGCAACGUGGUCGAUUCAUACCCACUUGUAGCAUUUCACGCAUGAGUAAUAAUUUUCACGUUCUUUCUUUCGGGAAGGGAGGAUUAGAAAAAUCUUAUUGAUUGCAGCUGUUUCCAAACCUCCGGGAAAAGCAUGAAAAGAAAACUUAUGAUACGGUCCCUCUGUCACUUCAAAAGUGAAAGGAGCGAUCUUGUAAUUCUUGGUCUAUGAAGUACAUUGUUAGCUUCUCUGUGUUUGAUUUUCCCAUUGAGGCCAAACCUCCGCGGUGUGCACAAACAUCUUUACUUCCAAACGGAUUAGGAUUCUCUUCCCUCUUCUUUCCAUCCCCUUCCAUUCUCACCUCUC